This 1376-nucleotide long non-coding RNA is filed under the name Homo sapiens (human). RNAcentral's name for it is "HSALNT0032151". Lineage: Eukaryota; Metazoa; Chordata; Mammalia; Primates; Hominidae. The record is from RNAcentral.
GUGUAGUUAGCCAUACAUCUACAAAUGAAUAACCACAGAGAAUCAAAGAGAAGGAACCAACUAAGCAGAUUCACUUGAGAGGUUGUGAUGAGUGAAAGAAGAAAGGUUCUGAAAUGCACUGCACAGUGAUGGGCACCAAGAGCAGUUCUACUGUAGGAGCUGUUCUGAUCAGUAUCACCCAGUUCUUCAGAUGUUUUGAUUUUCCACAUUUUGAGCACCAGAACAGGUCCAGAAAUAUUGGGGCACUGUUACCAAGUGAGGCUGACGUUGUUUCAAGAUAAACAACGUACUUUUUGUUUGUUGCAGACUACUCAAUUUAUUUUGCUAAAAUAUUAAGUUCAUUGUAUCUGUCGGGGGAUUAGGUUAUGCUGAAGUAACAAACUACCCCAAACAUCUGUGACUUUAUUCUCAUGCUACACAUCCAUCCAUAAUGUGAAAAAAAAAAAAAAAGAUAUUUCAGGGUCUUUCCUUGCUUCCUCCCAUCUUAGAGCUGCUUUUGGCAACCCAGUGCUCACAGUAUGCGCAAGUAGGCACCAUGAAAUUCAGGUAAAACAGCAGCUUCUAGAAACUGCUCCACCCUAAUUCCAAGAGACCUUGAGUACCAUGCUAGAGAGCCCAUCCUUCUGUUACCUGUGGGGAAACUCUUGCUACAGAGAGGAGUUACAGCCCUGAGCUGCCUGCCUUAUUAAAAAGCACACUUCUGCUCUAGGCAAAAGACAGUCUGGUCUUGCUUUCCUCACUUAAUAGGACGCCAGCCUUCACCGGCUUUAUCUGUUGUGGUUUGUGGGGGCAGAAUCCCAGGUUUCAACGGUGUUGCUAGGUGUGUGGUAGGUCUGCCUCCACUUGGAGUUUCUCUUUGCUCCACUUUCAAGGUGAACUGCAAAUAUGAGGCUGUUUGGACCUAAGUCAGGAGGGUUUGGGGAAAAGAAAGCAAAACAUCAUUUUGAUUUAUCAGUUGCUUAGUAAGUAGCUACUGACCAGGAAUCUGCCACUUGUUUUGACUAAUAUAAGCCAAAAAAUACAAUUGAAACUGGUUUAUGAGUGUAGAUAUCAUCUCAGUUUUUUUAAGGCCCACGAAUAAAAUCUAAUCUCUUAAAGUGUGUACCUAUUUGUAAAGAAACAUAAAUAUUUGAUCAAAACUUGAAAUGUGCCUAAUUUUGCAACUCAAAUUCCAAACUAGUUGAAACCUCAUUCCUUAGAAUUUGUUUUAAUAACACCGCUCCUCCUUGCUCCAGCUUGGACUCGCUUCCUUCUUCCUUUCCCUUUUCUGCAAUACUGAAAUGGGCUUAUGUAUUUAUUAGCAGAGUCCAUUUAAACCCAGGAAGGUCGAUGCUUUUUUUGGAACAGCUUGAAUAAAAAAUAAAACAUAAUCUUUG